Molecule: non-coding RNA, 198 nt
Filed under: Sphingobium quisquiliarum
Lineage: Bacteria; Pseudomonadati; Pseudomonadota; Alphaproteobacteria; Sphingomonadales; Sphingobiaceae
Source: RNAcentral
GUCUUCAUUGAUCGCGCCGGUGCCCCGAAGGGGGCUUGAAUGGGAAUGCGGUGCGGAUGUCCUUUCCUUUUAGGGCGUCCAAAUCCGCGGCUGUCCCUGCAACUGUGAGCGGCGAGCGAGACACAUAUCGACCUUCCAUGACAUGGGAGGGUCAGCCACUGGGCCGGACGCUAAAUCCUGCGAGGCCUGGGAAGGCCA